GCACGCGCUCGCCGAAGCAGCCUCGUUUGUCACCGCGCCACGACUCGCACACGAGCAGUGAGGAGCGCAGCCACCAGAGUCGCAGUUGCAAAACGUUCACGCGAACAAGUCCCUUCAUGCUGCCUCUGCAUCUUCGUCCCGAGUCUCCGGUGACUACAAAGGCCGGUCGCAACAACUGGUAGCAGCGGUGGGAUAUGACGGAUCGACGGAAAGCGACAUGGACCGGAGGUCAGCCGAAAGGCCUGGAACCAGGAAUUCGGCGGGAUCGACGCAGCGUACCAUGACCGCACGGUAUGGGGAAUGGAAAGCGAGAGACUUACCUUG
This is a long non-coding RNA of Rhipicephalus sanguineus (brown dog tick), 324 nucleotides long. RefSeq lists it as uncharacterized. The record is from RefSeq and is a predicted model, not a curated record. NCBI's taxonomy places the organism in Eukaryota, Metazoa, Arthropoda, Arachnida, Ixodida, Ixodidae. The transcript is spliced from 3 exons.